UUUACUCGAGAGUUUGAUCCUGGCUCAGGAUGAACGCUGGCGGCGUGCUUAACACAUGCAAGUCGAACGGUGAAGCCAAGCUUGCUUGGUGGAUCAGUGGCGAACGGGUGAGUAACACGUGAGCAACCUGCCCUGAACUCUGGGAUAAGCGCUGGAAACGGCGUCUAAUACUGGAUAUGAGCUGCGGAGGCAUCUUCGUGGUUGGAAAGAUUUUUCGGUUUGGGAUGGGCUCGCGGCCUAUCAGCUUGUUGGUGAGGUAAUGGCUCACCAAGGCGUCGACGGGUAGCCGGCCUGAGAGGGUGACCGGCCACACUGGGACUGAGACACGGCCCAGACUCCUACGGGAGGCAGCAGUGGGGAAUAUUGCACAAUGGGCGGAAGCCUGAUGCAGCAACGCCGCGUGAGGGAUGACGGCCUUCGGGUUGUAAACCUCUUUUAGCAGGGAAGAAGCGAAAGUGACGGUACCUGCAGAAAAAGCGCCGGCUAACUACGUGCCAGCAGCCGCGGUAAUACGUAGGGCGCAAGCGUUAUCCGGAAUUAUUGGGCGUAAAGAGCUCGUAGGCGGUUUGUCGCGUCUGCUGUGAAAUCUGGGGGCUCAACCCCCAGCCUGCAGUGGGUACGGGCAGACUAGAGUGCGGUAGGGGAGAUUGGAAUUCCUGGUGUAGCGGUGGAAUGCGCAGAUAUCAGGAGGAACACCGAUGGCGAAGGCAGAUCUCUGGGCCGUAACUGACGCUGAGGAGCGAAAGGGUGGGGAGCAAACAGGCUUAGAUACCCUGGUAGUCCACCCCGUAAACGUUGGGAACUAGUUGUGGGGUCCAUUCCACGGAUUCCGUGACGCAGCUAACGCAUUAAGUUCCCCGCCUGGGGAGUACGGCCGCAAGGCUAAAACUCAAAGGAAUUGACGGGGACCCGCACAAGCGGCGGAGCAUGCGGAUUAAUUCGAUGCAACGCGAAGAACCUUACCAAGGCUUGACAUACACGAGAACGCUGCAGAAAUGUAGAACUCUUUGGACACUCGUGAACAGGUGGUGCAUGGUUGUCGUCAGCUCGUGUCGUGAGAUGUUGGGUUAAGUCCCGCAACGAGCGCAACCCUCGUUCUAUGUUGCCAGCACGUAAUGGUGGGAACUCAUGGGAUACUGCCGGGGUCAACUCGGAGGAAGGUGGGGAUGACGUCAAAUCAUCAUGCCCCUUAUGUCUUGGGCUUCACGCAUGCUACAAUGGCCGGUACAAAGGGCUGCAAUACCGCGAGGUGGAGCGAAUCCCAAAAAGCCGGUCCCAGUUCGGAUUGAGGUCUGCAACUCGACCUCAUGAAGUCGGAGUCGCUAGUAAUCGCAGAUCAGCAACGCUGCGGUGAAUACGUUCCCGGGUCUUGUACACACCGCCCGUCAAGUCAUGAAAGUCGGUAACACCUGAAGCCGGUGGCCCAACCCUUGUGGAGGGAGCCGUCGAAGGUGGGAUCGGUAAUUAGGACUAAGUCGUAACAAGGUAGCCGUACCGGAACCUGCGGCUGGAUCACCUCC
This is a ribosomal RNA of 1520 nucleotides. It matches the Rfam family "Bacterial small subunit ribosomal RNA".